AGAACAAUUAAAAAGUCAACUAACAGAAUUAUGCACCAAGUAUAGUGAUGUGUUCGGACUGGAAACCGAACCAAUAGCGACAAAUAAUUUGUAUAAGCAAACAUUAAAACUUAAAGAUGAUGAACCAAUUUAUAUUAAAAACUACAGAAGCCCGCGUAACCAAAUUGAAGAAAUUCAAAAACACGUAAGGAAAUUAAUAAAUGAAAAAAUCGUAACACCGUCUGUAUCCGGUUAUAACAGCCCACUCCUGUUAGUUCCAAAAAAAUCAUUACCAAAUUCGGAAGAUCAGAAAUGGCGAUUAGUAAUUAACUAUCACCAAAUCAACAAAAAACUACUUUCUGAUAAAUACCCGCUCCGCAGAAUUGAUGAUAUUCUAGACCAACUGGGCAGAGCUAAAUACUUUUCAUGCCUUGACUUAAUGUCUGGUUUCCACCAAAUUGAACAUGAAGAAAAUUCAAGAAAUAAUACAUAUUUUUCAACGAGCAAUGGCUCAUAUCGCUUCAUGCGAUUAAUAUUUGGUCUUAAAAUAGCAACAAAUUCAUUUCAGAGAAUGAUGACAAUAGGAUUCUCGGGGUUAGAACCUUCUCAGGCAUUCCUUUAUAUGGAUGACUUAAUGGUGAUAGGAAAUUCCGAAAAACGCAUCAUUAACGAGAAGAAACGUGUGAGACGCUUCUUACGCGUCACAACUUUUAUACCCGGCACUCAGGACUACAUCUAGAUGUAGAAGACAUCGCCAACCACUAGGUAUCGUUUACAUUACAGAACACGUAGUAAAAAGACUACUAAAUAAAAUUCAUCAAAAAAAUUGGAUCAGUUAAUCGUAUUUUCCAAUUUAUGAGAUAUUUAAAACAGCAAUAAAAUUUGUACUUUUUCCCUGCAAAUUCUGUGCAAUAAUGACCGCUAGGUUUCACAGUAGAUUUUUCGAAAGUGGCGCCAUCUAUGAAAAUGUCUGGUAAGCAACUUUGAUGGUCACUCUUUUUCUAAUAAAGAGCGUUGAAACCCGAGUCUUGGUUUUAACUUUUAAAAAUUAGCUUUUGGCCACUGUUUCCGCAACUCCUCGCAACCAGCUCGGAAUCAAAAU
RNAcentral lists this long non-coding RNA (1081 nucleotides) under Drosophila guanche. Lineage: Eukaryota; Metazoa; Arthropoda; Insecta; Diptera; Drosophilidae. The record is from RNAcentral.